GGUGGCUCAGUGGUAGAGCACAUGCCUUGCAUGCAUGAAGCCCUGGGUUCAAUUCCUCAGCACCA
This 65-nucleotide transfer RNA is filed under the name Dipodomys ordii (Ord's kangaroo rat). It matches the Rfam family "tRNA". Rfam says of the family: Transfer RNA (tRNA) molecules are approximately 80 nucleotides in length. Their secondary structure includes four short double-helical elements and three loops (D, anti-codon, and T loops). Lineage: Eukaryota; Metazoa; Chordata; Mammalia; Rodentia; Heteromyidae. The record is from Rfam by way of RNAcentral.